GAUGAACGCUGGCGGCGUGCCUAAUACAUGCAAGUCGAGCGAACAGACGAGGAGCUUGCUCCUCUGACGUUAGCGGCGGACGGGUGAGUAACACGUGGAUAACCUACCUAUAAGACUGGGAUAACUUCGGGAAACCGGAGCUAAUACCGGAUGAUAUAUUGAACCGCAUGGUUCAAUAGCGAAAGACGGUCUUGCUGUCACUUAUAGAUGGAUCCGCGCCGCAUUAGCUAGUUGGUAAGGUAACGGCUUACCAAGGCAACGAUGCGUAGCCGACCUGAGAGGGUGAUCGGCCACACUGGAACUGAGACACGGUCCAGACUCCUACGGGAGGCAGCAGUAGGGAAUCUUCCGCAAUGGGCGAAAGCCUGACGGAGCAACGCCGCGUGAGUGAUGAAGGUCUUCGGAUCGUAAAACUCUGUUAUUAGGGAAGAACAAAUGUGUAAGUAACUAUGCACGUCUUGACGGUACCUAAUCAGAAAGCCACGGCUAACUACGUG
RNAcentral lists this ribosomal RNA (497 nucleotides) under uncultured bacterium. Its description in RNAcentral is "partial 16S ribosomal RNA". It matches the Rfam family "Bacterial small subunit ribosomal RNA", at positions 28 to 507 of the family's 1533-position model. The record is from RNAcentral.